GUGAGGUGGUGACUAGUGACAGAGUGAGGGAAGGGGUGACUAGUGGCAGAGUGAGGGAAGGAAGGGGUGACUAGUGACAGAGUGAGGAAGGGUGUGACUAGUGACAGAGUGAAGGAGGUGGUGACUGUCACUAGUCACCCCAUCGCUCCCUCUGUCACUAGUCACCCCUUCCCUCCCUCACUCUGUCACUAGUCCCCCCUCCCUCUCUCUGUCACUAGUUCCACCCUCCCUCACUUUGUCACUAGUCACUAGUCCCCCCUCCCUCUCUCUGUCACUAGUUCCACCCUCCCUCAC
Pelobates cultripes (western spadefoot toad) is the source of this 294-nucleotide non-coding RNA. Lineage: Eukaryota; Metazoa; Chordata; Amphibia; Anura; Pelobatidae. The record is from the annotation of a GenBank genome assembly.